GACGAACGCUGGCGGCGUGCUUAACACAUGCAAGUCGAACGGAAAGGCCCUGCUUUUGUGGGGUGCUCGAGUGGCGAACGGGUGAGUAACACGUGAGUAACCUGCCCUUGACUUUGGGAUAACUUCAGGAAACUGGGGCUAAUACCGGUUAGGAGCUCCUGCUGCAUGGUGGGGGUUGGAAAGUUUCGGCGGUUGGGGAUGGACUCGCGGCUUAUCAGCUUGUUGGUGGGGUAGUGGCUUACCAAGGCUUUGACGGGUAGCCGGCCUGAGAGGGUGACCGGCCACAUUGGGACUGAGAGACGGACCAGAAUGCAACGGGAGGCAGCAGUGGGGAAUAUUGCACAAUGGGCGGAAGCCUGAUGCAGAAACGCCGCGUGCGGGAUGACGGCCUUCGGGUUGUAAACCGCUUUCGCCUGUGACGAAGCGUGAGUGACGGUAAUGGGUAAAGAAGCACCGGCUAACUACGUG
Molecule: ribosomal RNA, 468 nt
Filed under: uncultured bacterium
Lineage: Bacteria
Description: partial 16S ribosomal RNA
Rfam family: Bacterial small subunit ribosomal RNA
Source: RNAcentral